AUUGAACGCUGGCGGCAUGCUUUACACAUGCAAGUCGAACGGCAGCGCGGGCUUCGGCCUGGCGGCGAGUGGCGAACGGGUGAGUAAUACAUCGGAACGUGCCCAGUAGUGGGGGAUAGCUCGGCGAAAGCCGGAUUAAUACCGCAUACGACCUGAGUGUGAAAGCGGGGGAUCUUCGGACCUCGCGCUAUUGGAGCGGCCGAUGGCAGAUUAGCUAGUUGGUGGGGUAAAGGCCUACCAAGGCGACGAUCUGUAGCUGGUCUGAGAGGACGACCAGCCACACUGGGACUGAGACACGGCCCAGACUCCUACGGGAGGCAGCAGUGGGGAAUUUUGGACAAUGGGCGAAAGCCUGAUCCAGCAAUGCCGCGUGUGUGAUGAAGGCCUUCGGGUUGUAAAGCACUUUUGGCGGGAACGAAAAGGACUGUGCCAAUACCACGGUUCGAUGACGGUACCCGCAGAAUAAGCACCGGCUAACUACGUG
Molecule: ribosomal RNA, 484 nt
Filed under: uncultured bacterium
Lineage: Bacteria
Description: partial 16S ribosomal RNA
Rfam family: Bacterial small subunit ribosomal RNA
Source: RNAcentral